Molecule: ribosomal RNA, 497 nt
Filed under: uncultured bacterium
Lineage: Bacteria
Description: partial 16S ribosomal RNA
Rfam family: Bacterial small subunit ribosomal RNA
Source: RNAcentral
GAUGAACGCUGGCGGCGUGCCUAAUACAUGCAAGUCGAGCGAACAGACGAGGAGCUUGCUCCUCUGACGUUAGCGGCGGACGGGUGAGUAACACGUGGAUAACCUACCUAUAAGACUGGGAUAACUUCGGGAAACCGGAGCUAAUACCGGAUAAUAUAUUGAACCGCAUGGUUCAAUAGUGAAAGACGGUUUUGCUGUCACUUAUAGAUGGAUCCGCGCCGCAUUAGCUAGUUGGUAAGGUAACGGCUUACCAAGGCAACGAUGCGUAGCCGACCUGAGAGGGUGAUCGGCCACACUGGAACUGAGACACGGUCAAGACUCCUACGGGAGGCAGCAGUAGGGAAUCUUACGCAAUGGGCGAAAGCUUGACGGAGCAACGCCGCGUGAGUGAUGAAGGUCUUCGGAUCGUAAAACUCUGUUAUUAGGGAAGAACAAAUGUGUAAGUAACUAUGCACGUAUUGACGGUACCUAAUCAGAAAGCCACGGCUAACUACGUG